Molecule: transfer RNA, 58 nt
Filed under: Typosyllis antoni
Lineage: Eukaryota; Metazoa; Annelida; Polychaeta; Phyllodocida; Syllidae
Description: tRNA-Ser
Source: RNAcentral
ACUCUAUCCAUAUUACGGUUUUGAAAGCCUGAAAAAACAUUCAUUUGUUUAUAGAAUA